CCUACGGGGGGCAGCAGUGAGGAAUAUUGGUCAAUGGCCGGAAGGCUGAACCAGCCAUGCCGCGUGAAGGUCAGUGCCCUAUGGGCGUUAAACUUCUUUUGUGCGGGAGCAAUAAUGGUCACGUGUGGCCAGACGAGAUUACCGUACGAAUAAACAUCGGCUAACUCUGUGCCAGCAGCCGCGGGAAUACGGGGGAUGCAAGCGUUAUCCGGAUUUAUGGGGUUUAAAGGGUGCGUAGGCUGGUAGGUAAGUCAGCGGUGAAAUGCCCCCGCUCAACGGGGUGAAGUGCCAUUGAUACUGCCAUGCUGGAAUGCGGAUGCCGUGGGAGGAAUUUGAGGUGUAGCGGUGAAAUGCAUAGAUAUCA
Molecule: ribosomal RNA, 364 nt
Filed under: uncultured bacterium
Lineage: Bacteria
Description: partial 16S ribosomal RNA
Rfam family: Bacterial small subunit ribosomal RNA
Source: RNAcentral